CGGGGCGUAGCUUAGUGGCCAAAGCGCCUCCCUCACACGGAGGAGAUCGCGGGUUCGAGUCCCGCCGCCCUGA
Molecule: transfer RNA, 73 nt
Filed under: Myxococcales bacterium
Lineage: Bacteria; Pseudomonadati; Myxococcota; Myxococcia; Myxococcales
Description: tRNA-Val
Rfam family: tRNA
About the family: Transfer RNA (tRNA) molecules are approximately 80 nucleotides in length.
Source: RNAcentral